Molecule: long non-coding RNA, 1004 nt
Organism: Vigna angularis (adzuki bean)
Lineage: Eukaryota; Viridiplantae; Streptophyta; Magnoliopsida; Fabales; Fabaceae
Exons: 3
Source: RefSeq, a predicted model, not a curated record
AAUCGAACCACCUGUAAGUGUGUAAAUAAUUUCUCAGCUUUCUCUCCACUCCGUCUUCACACCUUCCCUUUGCCUUUUCUUCUUCACUUUGUUUCGCGUUCUUUCACCUUAACUUCUCCUUCGCAUUGCCUUUCCUUUGCCUUUUUAUCUUUUUCACUCUGUCACUCGUUCCCCAACCCUGCGCUCCUUCACGUCGCGUUUUGCAUCUUCUCCACUCUGACUCUCCCCCAACCCCAAUGUCCCUCGGCUCCCGCAACGACCAGAACUCCGCCGCAAGUUGCUCGAGCUUGGACGGAAGACAAGCUCCAAGGUGGCGAUCGUAGAGCAGGAAAUCACAGGUAACAUGUGGAUGUGCUGUUGGAGUUGUUGCUGCAUUUAGAGCUCAGUUGGUGGUGUGUUGUUUGCUUUGGAAGAGGUUACAUCUUGGUGGAGCAGUCAACUAAUGUGUCGUGUCUUCUUCACUUCUGUUGUUGUUGUGGUUCGAACUGCAAUGGGAUGGUGUAAGAGUGGAAAAUGUGGACAUUUUGGGUCCGGUGAAUUUAUAAUAUGAGAUAUAUCAAAGUUAAGAUCUAAGUUGUCACCUUUUUCACUGUUAGUUGAAUAGUCAGAUAUUUGUUUUCUUCCUUCCCCUUCUUGACUGAUUUGUUUUUAGUGGCCAAGAGGAUUAUUCCUUUGUAGAGUUAUUUCCAAUGGCUAUUAUUGGGGUUAUUGGAGGUCUACUAGGUAGUAAUUUUUUCCUUUAUUUUGGACUUCAUCUGUACUGUGGGUUUUACUUGGAUCUUGUUCGGUUUUACUUGGACUUCAAUAAUUUGUAGGAGCUUUAUUCAACCAACUUACUCUUUAUAUUACCACUUGGCGACGAAAUCAUGCCUUGUAUCCAUUUUAACGUUAGUGAUUUCAUUUGGAUUGCCACUUCUAAGAGAAUGUACUCCUUGCCCUAAAUCUGAUUCUGCAUCUGGUAUUGAAUGUCCUCGACCUCCUAGAAUGUAUGGAAAUUAUGUAAA